Molecule: ribosomal RNA, 505 nt
Filed under: uncultured bacterium
Lineage: Bacteria
Description: bacterial SSU rRNA
Rfam family: Bacterial small subunit ribosomal RNA
Source: RNAcentral
AAUGAACGUUGGCGGCGUGGAUUAGGCAUGCAAGUCGAGCGAGAAUUUGCGAUUGGAAGCUUCGGCCGAAGAAAGUGAAGGAAAGCGGCAAACGGCGUAGUAAGGCGUAGGUACGUACCCUCGGGUCGGGAAUAGCCAUGGGAAACUGUGGGUAAUGCCCGAUAAUCUCUGCGGAGCAAAGGUGUGAUUCCGCCGGAGGAGCGGCUUACGUGAUAUUAGCUAGUUGGUGGGGUAAUGGCCUACCAAGGCAACGAUGUCUAGGGGGUGUGAGAGCAUGGCCCCCACGACCGGAACUGAGACACUGUCCGGACACCUACGGGUGGCUGCAGUCGAGAAUCUUCCGCAAUGGGGCGAAAGCCUGACGGAGCGACGCCGCGUGGUGGAUGAAGGCCCUUGGGUUGUAAACACCUGUCAGAGGGGAUGAAAUCAUGGUUGGCAAUCCUUCCAUGUUGACAGAGCCUCAGAGGAAGCACGGGCUAAGUACGUGCCAGCAGCCGCGGUAAAG